Molecule: long non-coding RNA, 615 nt
Filed under: Dromaius novaehollandiae (emu)
Lineage: Eukaryota; Metazoa; Chordata; Aves; Casuariiformes; Dromaiidae
Description: lncRNA (ENSDNVG00000001837.1)
Source: RNAcentral
UCCCUGCAGCUCCGGAGCGCUUGGCAGCUGCCCCAGUCGUGCCCGCACCUGGGAGGCCUCUGCGUUCACGCGACUUGCAGCUGUGAGAGCUUUCAAACACCUUUGAGCGGGCAGGAGCGGAUCUGUCCUUGAAGGCAGCUUUCUUCGCUGGCUGUCCCGGUUCUUGUGUGGGAGACAAGGUCACCAUCAGAAUCCAAGUCGAAUGCUUCCUUGUGAUGGGGCCUGACUGGCUUUAUGCCACAAGUGCUGUACUCCAACUGACAUGCUCUCCUGGCGAACCUGGCAGCUGCUUGCUCCCUCAACCUUCCCAUCAGGAUUUUUUGAAAGCAAGUAAUGGUUAGGUAAUGGUUAGUUGUUGAAGAUACAGCUCAAGUGGAGAAAAAAAAAGACCAUCUCUUCUUGAACACGACUUACCAUCCUAAGGUCAACGCCAGAGAUGCUUUCCCUUCAUGUAACUAGUCACUAGGUAAAGGAGGAGCAGAGCAUUCAGCACACAACUGCAUAAGCAGCCCAGCACCCUCUACAAGGUACUGACAGAAGGCCUGAAAAUUAGUAUAUCCAAGCUACACCCCCAGUAGAAAUAAAAAUAAUUUUUCAGUUAAUUGGACCUUAAUG